This 565-nucleotide ribosomal RNA is filed under the name uncultured bacterium. Its description in RNAcentral is "partial 16S ribosomal RNA". It matches the Rfam family "Bacterial small subunit ribosomal RNA", at positions 355 to 912 of the family's 1533-position model. The record is from RNAcentral.
UGGGGAAUUUUUGGACAAUGGGCGAAAGCCUGAUCCAGCAAUGCCGCGUGUGUGAAGAAGGCCUUCGGGUUGUAAAGCACUUUUGUCCGGAAAGAAAUCCUUGGCUCUAAUACAGUCGGGGGAUGACGGUACCGGAAGAAUAAGCACCGGCUAACUACGUGCCAGCAGCCGCGGUAAUACGUAUGGUGCAAGCGUUAAUCGGAAUUACUGGGCGUAAAGCGUGCGCAGGCGGUUUGCUAAGACCGAUGUGAAAUCCCCGGGCUCAACCUGGGAACUGCAUUGGUGACUGGCAGGCUAGAGUAUGGCAGAGGGGGGUAGAAUUCCACGUGUAGCAGUGAAAUGCGUAGAGAUGUGGAGGAAUACCGAUGGCGAAGGCAGCCCCCUGGGCAAUACUGACGCUCAUGCACGAAAGCGUGGGGAGCAAACAGGACUAGAUACCCUGGUAGUCCACGCCCUAAACGAUGUCAACUAGGUUGUUGGGGAUUCAUUUCCUUAGUAACGUAGCUAACGCGUGAAGUUGACCGCCUGGGGAGUACGGUCGCAAGAUUAAAACUUAAAGGAAUUG